RNAcentral lists this ribosomal RNA (504 nucleotides) under uncultured bacterium. Its description in RNAcentral is "partial 16S ribosomal RNA". It matches the Rfam family "Bacterial small subunit ribosomal RNA", at positions 28 to 523 of the family's 1533-position model. The record is from RNAcentral.
GAUGAACGCUAGCGGCAGGCCUAACACAUGCAAGUCGAGGGGCAGCAUAAAAUAAGCUUGCUUAUUUGGUGGCGACCGGCGCACGGGUGCGUAACGCGUAUGCAACUUACCCUGUACUGAGGGAUAGCCCAGAGAAAUUUGGAUUAAUACCUCAUAGUAUUGAUUGAUCACCUGAUUAGUUAAUUAAAGGUUACGGUACAGGAUAGGCAUGCGUCCUAUUAGCUAGAUGGUGAGGUAACGGCUCACCAUGGCGACGAUAGGUAGGGGGCCUGAGAGGGUGGUCCCCCACACUGGUACUGAGACACGGACCAGACUCCUACGGGAGGCAGCAGUGAGGAAUAUUGGUCAAUGGGCGAAAGCCUGAACCAGCCAUGCCGCGUGAAGGAUGAAGGUUCUAUGGAUUGUAAACUUCUUUUAUUUGGGAAUAAACCCCUGGUCGUGCAUCAGGGCUGAAGGUACCAAAUGAAUAAGCACCGGCUAACUCCGUGCCAGCCGCCGCGGUAA